CAGCAGUGCAAGUAGCACAACUUCAUCUGAGUUUUGUGAUGCAUGAGUAAUCCUGCCUCCAAGGCUGUCUGGGACUUGUGCACCACAUCCUUGCUCCAGCUAGUAACUCAGUACAGUAUUUUACAAUGUCUGGGAUAGAGAUCAUUUCUUCUGUGCAGUGUGCUGUGGUAUGUUCAUUGGGCAGAGUGCUGUCUAUGAGGAGGACUCAGUACGGUGGCACCUGUCCAUCUCGUGAUGCACAGAACUGUUUUCCAUGCUGCUGUGUGGGCUGGAAGCAGCUGAGGGCUAGGAUGCUCCCUGUGCACUCACACAGCUCCUGGCAUGGCACAGCUUCAGUUCUGGUAGCAGACAGGCCAUUGCUACAAUCUAAAUGCCUUUAAAAAAAAAGGUGGUCGUAGCAGGAAGAAGUGCUGGUUGGAAUCUCUGAGCUUCUAAUACAAUGUUGACUAAAAUGCAAUGCUGACUAAAAUCUCCUGCAUGUGAGUCUUGUCCCUUCCACCACAAAGGACUGGUCACAUUUUCCAUUCUUGGCUCCAUGUGGCUGCUCUGAACAUCCCAGGUUAUCUCUGCACCCACCAGCUGCCUUUCCUACUGCUUGGCUCUCCAGGCCUUCAUCUCUGCUCAGCGCCCAUGCCAGGGUCACUAAGGCAGUUAGCUGAGUUUUAAGAUACCUCUAUUUUUGGAGGACUUUUUAUUUGGGAGCCCAGGAAGUAAGAGUUCAGCUCUCUCUCCCUCAGCCAUGACUCUGGGGUAGGAUUUUCAGGGGUAGGAGCACUGCAGAAGUCUUGAGUAGCCUGGAACUCCCAGAUAGCACAGGAAAAACCUAUUAUGGGAAAGCUGCUAAUAGCAGAAGUAAGCUCUUAGCCACAUUUUCCACUGGUGUUACAGACUCUGGAGAACAGCUUGUUUCGACCAGGUUUCCAAACUGCUUUUUGGUGUUCAUCCAAAGACUUGGGGCCACACAUUCUCUUAUGGGGGCUUUUCACAGCUGCCUCUCCUUGGAAUGAUUGCAAGGGGUGCUGAGUUGGGUAGUUGGGUGGGAUGACCUGUUGCUCUCAUGUUUAUUUCUUUGGAGUGUCUCUGUCAAGAAAGACUGUAAGACAUAAUAAUUAAAAUACUUUUAGAUCACCAUAAUCUUGUCAAACUUCUUAUUGUGAUCCCUGUGAAUGUGACAUUUGUGAGCUCAUU
RNAcentral lists this long non-coding RNA (1188 nucleotides) under Junco hyemalis (dark-eyed junco). RNAcentral describes it as "lncRNA (ENSJHYG00000009126.1)". Lineage: Eukaryota; Metazoa; Chordata; Aves; Passeriformes; Passerellidae. The record is from RNAcentral.